CAGCACGGGAGCAAUCCUGGUGGCGAGUGGCGAACGGGUGAGUAAUAUAUCGGAACGUGCCCAGUCGUGGGGGAUAACGCAGCGAAAGCUGUGCUAAUACCGCAUACGAUCUACGGAUGAAAGCGGGGGACUCGCAAGAGCCUCGCGCGAUUGGAGCGGCCGAUAUCAGAUUAGCUAGUUGGUGGGGUAAAAGCCCACCAAGGCGACGAUCUGUAGCUGGUCUGAGAGGACGACCAGCCACACUGGAACUGAGACACGGUCCAGACUCCUACGGGAGGCAGCAGUGGGGAAUUUUGGACAAUGGGCGCAAGCCUGAUCCAGCAAUGCCGCGUGCAGGAUGAAGGCCUUCGGGUUGUAAACUGCUUUUGUACGGAACGAAACGGCUCCUUCUAAUACAAGGGGCUAAUGACGGUACCGUAAGAAUAAGCACCGGCUAACUACGUGCCAGCAGCCGCGGUAAUACGUAGGGUGCGAGCGUUAAUCGGAAUUACUGGGCGUAAAGCGUGCGCAGGCGGUUAUAUAAGACAGAUGUGAAAUCCCCGGGCUCAACCUGGGACCUGCAUAUGUGACUGUAUAGCUAGAGUACGGUAGAGGGGGAUGGAAUUCCGCGUGUAGCAGUGAAAUGCGUAGAUAUGCGGAGGAACACCGAUGGCGAAGGCAAUCCCCUGGACCUGUACUGACGCUCAUGCACGAAAGCGUGGGGAGCAAACAGGAUUAGAUACCCUGGUAGUCCACGCCCUAAACGAUGUCAACUGGUUGUUGGGUCUUCACUGACUCAGUAACGAAGCUAACGCGUGAAGUUGACCGCCUGGG
RNAcentral lists this ribosomal RNA (813 nucleotides) under uncultured bacterium. Its description in RNAcentral is "bacterial SSU rRNA". It matches the Rfam family "Bacterial small subunit ribosomal RNA", at positions 70 to 877 of the family's 1533-position model. The record is from RNAcentral.